UACGAAGGGGGCGAGCGUUGUUCGGAAUUACUGGGCGUAAAGGGCGCGUAGGCGGCCGAUCAAGUUAGAUGUGAAAGUCCUGGGCUUAACCUGGGGACUGCAUUUGAUACUGAUUGGCUUGAAUUCGGGAGAGGAUAGCGGAAUUCCCAGUGUAGAGGUGAAAUUCGUAGAUAUUGGGAAGAACACCGAUGGCGAAGGCAGCCAUCUGGACCGACACUGACGCUGAGGCGCGAAAGCGUGGGGAGCAAACAGG
This 253-nucleotide ribosomal RNA is filed under the name uncultured bacterium. Its description in RNAcentral is "partial 16S ribosomal RNA". It matches the Rfam family "Bacterial small subunit ribosomal RNA", at positions 524 to 776 of the family's 1533-position model. The record is from RNAcentral.